UACGAAGGGGGCAAGCGUUGUUCGGAAUUACUGGGCGUAAAGGGCUCGUAGGCGGCCCUCUCAGUCGGAUGUGAAAUCCCCAGGCUCAACUUGGGAACGGCAUCCGAUACUGGAGGGCUUGAAUUCGGGAGAGGGAUGCAGAAUUCCAGGUGUAGCGGUGAAAUGCGUAGAUAUCUGGAGGAAUACCGGUGGCGAAGGCGGCAUCCUGGACCGAGAUUGACGCUGAGGAGCGAAAGCUAGGGGAGCAAACGGG
Molecule: ribosomal RNA, 253 nt
Filed under: uncultured bacterium
Lineage: Bacteria
Description: partial 16S ribosomal RNA
Rfam family: Bacterial small subunit ribosomal RNA
Source: RNAcentral